UCUAAGGGGCAUUUAACAUGAGAGGCUUGAGGAGGGCGACAUUUGUACACAGACCCGAAAGAAGAGAGGGUGCGGUGCAGAGGCUGACCCCGGAGGCCUUGGAGCAACAGCAAGAGGCCUACCAUAGGAUGAGGCUGUCCUGCUGGAGGAACAGAGCUGGCCUGUGGUACAGAAGCACAGAGGGAAGGACACGGCCCAGCAUCCUUUGCCAGAGUCGUGCGGCAGCACAGAGACAGUCUUGACACCCAGAAGCAGUGCGUGGCCACCAAGCUCCAAAGCAUCCACCCGAGGGAGGGCAGCACCAGGACAGGGGUGGAGCAUUCAAGGCUCAGAGGCUGCAGUGUGAAGCCAAAGGGUGGCCCCUGGCCCUUCAGCAUGUUCCAUCUCUGAGAUCUUACUGCCCCUCAAACCUGGAUUUCACAGACUUUAUAAACUCAUCAACUAUACUAAACUAUAGGACCUCAGCAGUGCGACCGAAAGGUGUCUCUCUCCAGGUCUUGGGCCUGCAGCUCAGCGGGUAGGUUCAGUUAGACAGCAUCCCUAUUUCUUCCGGCUGCACCCAGGACUGGCUAUCUCAGGCCACCCCAGGAGCUCCACAACACAAAAAGCUCUCACGCCCUGAGCGUCUCGGGUUUUGAUGCUAAACCCCGGUGGGGGAGUUAGAGCACCCACAGGGCACUGGCCUCCCGGAGAGAAGAGAGCUGGAUCUAGGCCAGAAUCAGGGGAGAGGGGGCACAGAGGUAUCAGCCAAGCAACAGGCAAAGCUGACUACCCAGAGGGGCCCCUUCCAGGCCUGCUGGGGAUCCAGCAGGAGCAGAAAGGCCAGGCCAAAAGCCAGAGCAGGAACAAGAAGGCACAGAGCAAGGAAGUAAUGGACGAGGAGGUAAAAGCCAGAAAAUGGGAGCUGCACGGAACAGGAAGCAGAAUGGGACCAAAGCCACCCCAGCUGAAAGGAGACGCCAGUGUGGGUUACCACAGCGAUCUGAGGUCCAGGAGGACGCUGGCUAGAGCGAGACUCCUCCCUGCCCCAUUUCAUUCCACUGGACUCACCAGAACUGUGUUUUGGGGAAGGGGCCAGAACGACUAUUGGAGCCGUGACUUGGCUGCUGCCUUUUACAGUCCACUUCCCAGAAUAAACUGCCCCAAGACUUCACCAUCUCCAAAAAAGGCAACUACAAAAACGCUCCUUGCCAGCC
Long non-coding RNA from Marmota flaviventris (yellow-bellied marmot), 1196 nucleotides. RefSeq lists it as uncharacterized. Lineage: Eukaryota; Metazoa; Chordata; Mammalia; Rodentia; Sciuridae. The record is from RefSeq and is a predicted model, not a curated record.